RNAcentral lists this long non-coding RNA (686 nucleotides) under Oncorhynchus mykiss (rainbow trout). RNAcentral's name for it is "lncRNA (ENSOMYG00000066866.1)". The record is from RNAcentral. Lineage: Eukaryota; Metazoa; Chordata; Actinopteri; Salmoniformes; Salmonidae.
AUAUAUUUAUUACAUACAUUUUUCCAUUAUUAAAGUGGCUGGAGUUGAGUCAGUAUGUUGGUAGCAGCCACUCAAUGUUAGUGAUGGCUGUUUAACAGUCUGAUGGCCUUGAGAUAGAAGCUGUUUUUCAGUCUCUCGGUCCCAGCUUUGAUGCACCUGUACUGACCUCGCCUUCUGGAUGAUAGUGGGGUGAACAGGCAGUGACUCAGGUGUUGUUGUCCUGUUGUCUUUGUCUACUCAGUUCCAGGUUGGAUGGUGUUUUCAGUUCCAGGUUGGAUGGUGUUUUCAGGUUCCAGGUUGGAUGGUGUUUUCAGUUCCAGGUUGGAUGGUGUUUUCAGGAUCCAGGUUGGAUGGUGUUUUCAGUUCCAGGUUGGAUGGUGUUUUCAGUUCCAGGUUGGAUGGUGUUUUCAGGUUCCAGGUUGGAUGGUGUUUUCAGUUCCAGUGUGGAUGGUGAUUUUAGGUUCCAGUUUGGAUGGUGAUUUCAGGUUGGAUGGUGUUUUCAGGUUCCAGGUUGGAUGGUGUUUUCAGUUCCAGGUUGGAUGUUGAUUUCAGGUUCCAGGUUGGAUGGUGAUUUCAGGUUGGAUGGUGAUUUCAGGUUUCAGGUUUGAUGGUGUUUUCAGUUCCAGGUUGGAUGGUGUUUUCAGGAUCCAGGUUGGAUGGUGUUUUCAGGUUCCAGGUUGGAUGGU